Molecule: ribosomal RNA, 497 nt
Filed under: uncultured bacterium
Lineage: Bacteria
Description: partial 16S ribosomal RNA
Rfam family: Bacterial small subunit ribosomal RNA
Source: RNAcentral
GAUGAACGCUGGCGGCGUGCCUAAUACAUGCAAGUCGAGCGAACAGAUGAGGAGCUUGCUCCUCUGACGUUAGCGGCGGACGGGUGAGUAACACGUGGAUAACCUACCUAUAAGACUGGGAUAACUUCGGGAAACCGGAGCUAAUACCGGAUAAUAUAUUGAACCGCAUGGUUCAAUAGUGAAAGACGGUUUUGCUGUCACUUAUAGAUGGAUCCGCGCCGCAUUAGCUAGUUGGUAAGGUAACGGCUUACCAAGGCAACGAUGCGUAGCCGACCUGAGAGGGUGAUCGGGCAGACGGGAACUGAGAAACGGUACAGACUCCUACGGGAGGCAGCAGUAGGGAAUCUUCCGCAAUGGGCGAAAGCCUGACGGAGCAACGCCGCGUGAGGGAUGAAGGUCUUCGGAUCGUAAAACUCUGUUAUUAGGGAAGAACAAAUGUGUAAGUAACUAUGCACGUCUUGACGGUACCUAAUCAGAAAGCCACGGCUAACUACGUG